RNAcentral lists this ribosomal RNA (386 nucleotides) under uncultured bacterium. Its description in RNAcentral is "bacterial SSU rRNA". It matches the Rfam family "Bacterial small subunit ribosomal RNA", at positions 28 to 416 of the family's 1533-position model. The record is from RNAcentral.
GACGAACGCUGGCGGCGUGCUUAACACAUGCAAGUCGAGCGGUAAGGCCCUCGGGUACGACGAGCGGCGAACGGGUGAGUAACACGUGGGUGACCUGCCCUUACGCUCUGGGAUAAGCCUGGGAAACUGGGUCUAAUACCGGAUAUGACCUCAUGACGCAUGUUGUGGGGUGGAAAGCCUUGUGCGGCUAGGGAUGGGCCCGCGGCCUAUCAGCUUGUUGGUGGGGUGAUGGCCUACCAAGGCGACGACGGGUAGCCGGCCUGAGAGGGCGACCGGCCACACUGGGACUGAGACACGGCCCAGACUCCUACGGGAGGCAGCAGGUGGGGAAUCUUGCGCAAUGGGCGAAAGCCUGACGCAGCGACGCCGCGUGAGGGAUGACGGCC